RNAcentral lists this ribosomal RNA (253 nucleotides) under uncultured bacterium. RNAcentral's name for it is "partial 16S ribosomal RNA". It matches the Rfam family "Bacterial small subunit ribosomal RNA", at positions 524 to 776 of the family's 1533-position model. The record is from RNAcentral.
UACGUAGGUGGCAAGCGUUAUCCGGAAUUAUUGGGCGUAAGGCGCGCGCAGGUGGUUUCUUAAGUCUGAUGUGAAAGCCCACGGCUCAACCGUGGAGGGUCAUUGGAAACUGGGAGACUUGAGUGCAGAAGAGGAAAGUGGAAUUCCAUGUGUAGCGGUGAAAUGCGUAGAGAUAUGGAGGAACACCAGUGGCGAAGGCGACUUUCUGGUCUGCAACUGACACUGAGGCGCGAAAGCGUGGGGAGCAAACAGG